RNAcentral lists this ribosomal RNA (253 nucleotides) under uncultured bacterium. RNAcentral describes it as "partial 16S ribosomal RNA". It matches the Rfam family "Bacterial small subunit ribosomal RNA", at positions 524 to 776 of the family's 1533-position model. The record is from RNAcentral.
UACGUAGGGUGCAAGCGUUAAUCGGAAUUACUGGGCGUAAAGCGUGCGCAGGCGGUUUUGUAAGACAGGCGUGAAAGCCCCGGGCUCAACCUGGGAACCGCGCUUGAGACUGGCAUGCUCGAGUUCGGGAGAGGAUGGUGGAAUUCCCAGUGUAGAGGUGAAAUUCGUAGAUAUUGGGAAGAACACCGAUGGCGAAGGCAGCCAUCUGGACCGACACUGACGCUGAGGCGCGAAAGCGUGGGGAGCAAACAGG